Molecule: transfer RNA, 66 nt
Filed under: Ceriodaphnia cornuta
Lineage: Eukaryota; Metazoa; Arthropoda; Branchiopoda; Diplostraca; Daphniidae
Description: tRNA-Trp
Source: RNAcentral
AGAAUUUUAAGUUAAGUUGAAACUAAAAGCCUUCAAAGCUUUAAAUAAGAAUAGUCUUAAAUUCUA